Molecule: long non-coding RNA, 422 nt
Filed under: Helianthus annuus (common sunflower)
Lineage: Eukaryota; Viridiplantae; Streptophyta; Magnoliopsida; Asterales; Asteraceae
Source: RNAcentral
GGUUGCGAUCAUACCAGCACUAAUGCACCGGAUCCCAUCAGAACUCCGCAGUUAAGCGUGCUUGGGCGAGAGUAGUACUAGGAUGGGUGACCCCCUGGGAAGUCCUCGUGUUGCAACCCCCUUUUUUUUCGUUUUUUUGGUUUAUUUUAUUUACUAGUCGCUGUAUCUUUGGCGUAGCAUGACGAAUGCGCGCGCGCGCACGGCGGGCCCGAGGCGCGUGACGUAGGCCACACAUGAGGGCAUAGGUGCGAAUGGGAUCAAGGCGUGGAAAGGUAUAAAGGAAUAAGGAGAAGGUAUUCUUUCGGUUGCGAUCAUACCAGCACUAAUGCACCGGAUCCCAUUAGAACUCCGCAGUUAAACGUGCUUGGGCGAGAGUAGUACUAGGAUGGGUGACCCGCUGGGAAGUCCUCGUGUUGCAACCC